Molecule: ribosomal RNA, 567 nt
Filed under: fungal sp. 51604
Lineage: Eukaryota; Fungi
Description: eukaryotic LSU rRNA
Rfam family: 5.8S ribosomal RNA (bases 205-357)
Source: RNAcentral
GGUGAAGCUGCGGAGGGAUCAUUACCGAAGUGAGGGGCCCUCUGGGUCCAACCCUCCCACCCGUUGUUUAUUUUACCUUGUUGCUUCGGCGGGCCCGCCUUAACUGGCCGCCGGGGGGCUUACGCCCCCGGGCCCGCGCCCGCCGAAGACACCCUCGAACUCUGUCUGAAGAUUGUAGUCUGAGUGAAAAUAUAAAUUAUUUAAAACUUUCAACAACGGAUCUCUUGGUUCCGGCAUCGAUGAAGAACGCAGCGAAAUGCGAUACGUAAUGUGAAUUGCAAAUUCAGUGAAUCAUCGAGUCUUUGAACGCACAUUGCGCCCCCUGGUAUUCCGGGGGGCAUGCCUGUCCGAGCGUCAUUUCUGCCCUCAAGCACGGCUUGUGUGUUGGGCCCCGUCCUCCGAUCCCGGGGGACGGGCCCGAAAGGCAGCGGCGGCACCGCGUCCGGUCCUCGAGCGUAUGGGGCUUUGUCACCCGCUCUGUAGGCCCGGCCGGCGCUUGCCGAUCAACCCAAAUUUUUAUCCAGGUUGACCUCGGAUCAGGUAGGGAUACCCGCUGAACUUAAGCAU